UUGGAGAUUUCCAGACUCCCCAGGUGAGAAUUGUAUCUCCAGAGGGUGAACUACUGGGGUGGGUGAGUUUACCUUGAUCUAUGACGCCACUAACUCAAGGGAACGUUCAGUUGCUAGGUAACUUGCGAGGCAGGUGGGAAAUACUUGAAGCUGGGAAAUUGAGGUAGUCAACGUCAUCAUUAGCUACCUGCUUAAGGCUGCUGAAGUCCACAUUGCCUCUGAGGGCAAAACAGCUUUUUUUUCUCCAGGGAUUGUUCUCCACUCUCCCACAGAUGCUGGUGUAGGAUGUCUGCUAUGCAUUGGGAAGCCCGGCGCCGGCAGACCAUGGUGGACCGCAGGAUGUCCAGGGCCAAGCAGCAGAUGACAAAGGACUCUUCAGAGCCAAGCUCAAAGCCACUGGCAGAGUCUAACGCACCAGCUCAGCAACCAGGUAAUAUCUAAAUGUUUAAUUUGCACCAUUUUUGUUGUACCUAAAAGGGUGACAAACUACUAACAAAACCAUAUUCAUUAUAAGCCAGACAUGCUCAUGUUAUGUCUCAUGACUAGGCCUUUCAGAAAAGGGACUUUUGCAUACUUAUUUGUAAAUGUCUGACCCUGCAACAACAACCAUCUUCUGACUGUAAUUCAGGCAAAUAAGGUAAUCAAAUCUCAUAAGCAAACAAUUCCAUGCCCUGAGGAUUCUGUUUAAGGAGUUAUAUCUGUGGGCUCAUGUUCCAACAUGACUUUGCUGUGUCGUCCAGCAAGUAGCCCACAAUACCAGAGCCAUUAAUCCCCAAUUGACUCCAACACUUUGAGAACAAUGGAAUUACAAUUUACUCUCCAAAGCCUUCUAUUGGCUCAUGAAUAUCUCUGUAAUCUGGUAGCUUCUCGCUUGCAGGCACAUCAAUGAUUACCAUUAACUGAGUCAACAACAGCCUAUCCCCCAGAGGUGACAUGGACACACAUCCUCACCACAAACAGAAAACCUCCCAUUCAGGAGGAAUGCUCAGAUCGGAGUGGUCUAGAAUAGUCAACUUUCCCAACUCCAGUCCUGGGGAAAACACAGGACCGCAG
Molecule: long non-coding RNA, 1053 nt
Filed under: Salmo trutta (river trout)
Lineage: Eukaryota; Metazoa; Chordata; Actinopteri; Salmoniformes; Salmonidae
Description: lncRNA (ENSSTUG00000020961.1)
Source: RNAcentral